This 301-nucleotide ribosomal RNA is filed under the name uncultured bacterium. Its description in RNAcentral is "partial 16S ribosomal RNA". It matches the Rfam family "Bacterial small subunit ribosomal RNA", at positions 509 to 809 of the family's 1533-position model. The record is from RNAcentral.
CAGUAGCCGCGGGAAUACGUAGGUCCCGAGCGUUGUCCGGAUUUAUUGGGCGUAAAGGGAGCGCAGGCGGUUUAGUAGGUCUGAAGUUAAAGGCAUUGGCUCAACCAAUGUAUGCUUUGGAAACUGUUAGACCUGAGUGCAGAAGGGGAGAGUGGAAUUCCAUGUGUAGCGGUGAAAUGCGUAGGUAUAUGGAGGAACACCGGUGGCGAAAGCGGCUCUCUGUCUGUCACUGACGCUGAGGCUCGAAAGCGUGGGUAGCGAACAGGAUUAGAUACCCGCGUAGUCCCUGUCUCUUAUACAC